RNAcentral lists this ribosomal RNA (468 nucleotides) under uncultured bacterium. RNAcentral's name for it is "partial 16S ribosomal RNA". It matches the Rfam family "Bacterial small subunit ribosomal RNA", at positions 28 to 507 of the family's 1533-position model. The record is from RNAcentral.
GACGAACGCUGGCGGCGUGCUUAACGCAUGCAAGUCGAACGGAAAGGCCCUGCUUUUGUGGGGUGCUCGAGUGGCGAACGGGUGAGUAACACGUGAGUAACCUGCCCUUGACUUUGGGAUAACUUCAGGAAACUGGGGCUAAUACCGGAUAGGAGCUCCUGCUGCAUGGUGGGGGUUGGAAAGUUUCGGCGGUUGGGGAUGGACUCGCGGCUUAUCAGCUUGUUGGUGGGGUAGUGGCUUACCAAGGCUUUGACGGGUAGCCGGCCUGAGAGGGUGACCGGCCACAUUGGGACUGAGAUACGGCCCAGACUCCUACGGGAGGCAGCAGUGGGGAAUAUUGCACAAUGGGCGGAAGCCUGAUGCAGCAACGCCGCGUGCGGGAUGACGGCCUUCGGGUUGGAAACCGCUUUCGCCUGUGACGAAGCGUGAGUGACGGUAAUGGGUAAAGAAGCACCGGCUAACUACGUG